RNAcentral lists this unclassified non-coding RNA (362 nucleotides) under Hevea brasiliensis (rubber tree). The record is from RNAcentral. Lineage: Eukaryota; Viridiplantae; Streptophyta; Magnoliopsida; Malpighiales; Euphorbiaceae.
UAAUACCUUCCCGUAAAUUCUUGAAGAGCCUUGAUCAUUCUUUUUCUAUUGGAAUGAGGUUCAAAAUGCGUUUUGAAACAGAAGAUGCAGCAGAAAGAAGAUGUAUGGGAAUAAUAACUGGAAUUAGUGACCUAGAUCCUGCUAGAUGGCCUGGUUCAAAAUGGAGAUGCCUUGUGGUAAGGUGGGAUGAUAUGGAGACUAGCAGGCACAGCAGGGUUUCUCCUUGGGAAAUUGAGCCAUCUGGUCCUGUUUCCAGUUCCAGUAACUUUAUGGCACCUGGUUUGAAGAGGAGCAGGUCUGGAUUGCCUUCAUCAAAACCAGAAUUUCCAGUUCCUGAUGGGAUUGGUGUAUCAGACUUUGGG